Molecule: ribosomal RNA, 1132 nt
Filed under: Bacillus sp. 522B1_12AMRSA
Lineage: Bacteria; Bacillati; Bacillota; Bacilli; Caryophanales; Bacillaceae
Description: bacterial SSU rRNA
Rfam family: Bacterial small subunit ribosomal RNA
Source: RNAcentral
ACAUGCAAGUCGAGCGGACUUGACGGAGCUUGCUCUGUUCAAGUUAGCGGCGGACGGGUGAGUAACACGUGGGUAACCUGCCUGUAAGACUGGGAUAACUCCGGGAAACCGGGGCUAAUACCGGAUAUUCUUUUUCUUCGCAUGAAGAAGAAUGGAAAGGCGGCUUUUAGCUGUCACUUACAGAUGGACCCGCGGCGCAUUAGCUAGUUGGUGAGGUAACGGCUCACCAAGGCGACGAUGCGUAGCCGACCUGAGAGGGUGAUCGGCCACACUGGGACUGAGACACGGCCCAGACUCCUACGGGAGGCAGCAGUAGGGAAUCUUCCGCAAUGGACGAAAGUCUGACGGAGCAACGCCGCGUGAGUGAAGAAGGUUUUCGGAUCGUAAAGCUCUGUUGUCAGGGAAGAACAAGUACCAAAGUAACUGUUGGUACCUUGACGGUACCUGACCAGAAAGCCACGGCUAACUACGUGCCAGCAGCCGCGGUAAUACGUAGGUGGCAAGCGUUGUCCGGAAUUAUUGGGCGUAAAGCGCGCGCAGGCGGCUUCUUAAGUCUGAUGUGAAAGCCCACGGCUCAACCGUGGAGGGUCAUUGGAAACUGGGAGGCUUGAGUGCAGAAGAGGAGAGCGGAAUUCCACGUGUAGCGGUGAAAUGCGUAGAGAUGUGGAGGAACACCAGUGGCGAAGGCGGCUCUCUGGUCUGUAACUGACGCUGAGGCGCGAAAGCGUGGGGAGCGAACAGGAUUAGAUACCCUGGUAGUCCACGCCGUAAACGAUGAGUGCUAAGUGUUGGAGGGUUUCCGCCCUUCAGUGCUGCAGCUAACGCAUUAAGCACUCCGCCUGGGGAGUACGGCCGCAAGGCUGAAACUCAAAGGAAUUGACGGGGGCCCGCACAAGCGGUGGAGCAUGUGGUUUAAUUCGAAGCAACGCGAAGAACCUUACCAGGUCUUGACAUCCCGCUGACCGGUCUGGAGACAGAUCUUUCCCUUCGGGGACAGCGGUGACAGGUGGUGCAUGGUUGUCGUCAGCUCGUGUCGUGAGAUGUUGGGUUAAGUCCCGCAACGAGCGCAACCCUUGAUCUUAGUUGCCAGCAUUCAGUUGGGCACUCUAAGGUGACUGCCGGUGACAAACCG